CUUGGCCAAAUAGGCUAUUAGUAAGAGAUAGACAUAGAGAAUUUAGAGGGACAUUAGGGGGAGAGGAACGAAACAGAUAGAGAAAACAAAACAGAGGAAAGGGGGAGACGGACAGAGAGUCCAAAAAACAGAGAAAAAAACCAGUCACCUUCCUCCAUUGCUCUCGUUAUUCUCCCACCAUUAAAGCACCACCACUAUUCAACCAUGUUUGAACCAUAACUUAACAAAAGCUCCUCCCGUGAAAUUUUCUUUACUUCAACACCACCCUUUCUGUCUUUAAAGCUCCACCAUCAUCGUCCUUUAUCAUCUUCUUUGCCAAAAGCUCUCAAUAAAUUACAAAUCGAAAAUGGAUUAAACAUUAAGGAUAAGUUUCGGGCUAGAUCUAAACUCCGAUCGAAGUUGCCGUCAGGGGGUGGGUAUUGUUCGAGUGUUAUGGUCUGAUGUUCCAAUCCAGAUUUGAAACACAACCGAUGUGCUAUUGUUGGAUUGAACAAAUUUGCUGCUUGCAAGGAGAUCUUUCAUCAAUUCAAUUUUAAUUACUGUUUGGAUUCCACUUGAGGUCAACUCCUUACUUUGUUCUUUACUUAAUCUAUAUUUUUCUCAUAUGUGUGAUUUAUGAUUGCUUGAGCUUCAUGCUUUUAUUGUUACUUUGUGACUGAUUUUUCAUGUUUUAUUUCAAGUCUGUUGAGUUGAAUUUUUAAGUUUAAACAUUGUUAAAUUCUUGUCUUGUAGAUAUGUGUUGAUGCGGAAAAAAGAAAAAAAUAAUUUUAAUGAACUGUGGGAUUUGAUAGAAGGAUUCGGGCUUAAACGUAAAUGAAAAUUUGGAUUUGAAAUGUUUUUAUUACUUUUAUUUAUUUCUUAUCGCUAGUAGCAUGCUUAGACCGACCACACAUGGGUAGGCAAUAUAAGGACGUUUUAUUAUUUUUAGUUUUUGAGGUGAGAGAUUGUCCCCUUAGUUACUAUGAUUUUGUCAGGGGAAUGCCCUGAAGUAUUUGUAAAUAUUUAUCAGGGAUAUGCCCCAUAUUUGGAGGCCGUGACGAACCUCGUGGAAGAAGUAUAGUGUAUGUUAGUAUUUAGGACUUUAAUUUUCUUUUCUUUUUCUAUUUUUUAUUUUCUUUUAUUAGGUGGGGAUGACCUUGAACCUCUUUUGCAUUUAUUUUUCUUUUGUGUCUUUUUACCUCAACUCGAGUAUUCUUUUAAGCCGAUUAGAUCAUGUAUACAACUGUGACCUUCACGUGACUUGGAAAAUUCCUAACACCUUCUCCCCGAGUGAAAUGAACCCCAUUUCUCGGAAUUUCUGGUGCGGACUAUUUUUAGAGUCAAAACAUGUUUUAAAAGGAAAAAUUAUUUUUUUGUUAAAACGAUGAAUUGACACACCGAAACCAAAUGUCAAGUGGCGACUCUGAAAAUACUUUGAAACACAAACUUUGUCACUUUCAGUUUGAAAACCCUUUUGAGCUUUAAAAAUCACAUUAUUCUUUUUAAAGAGGGUUAAGAUGAAAAUGGGGUGUGACACCGAGUGCAUACUCAUCCUCAUGACUGUCAAACCAACUUCCUCAAGUGCUCCGAGAGGGUAGUAUAUUUGUUUCGCUAAAUAGAAGGAAAACUCUUCAUAGAAACCUCCUAAGGAUCACAUAACCUCACACCUUCUCAAGGGAGAUAACCCACCUACUACCCUCGAAUCGACAUCUUCCCAUGACCUACCAUGGUUACAACAACUAGGAAACCAAUUAAUCCUUCUGAGUCUACACUCGUCAACAAGUUAUAAGAAUCAAUUCAUUCCUCAAAUGAACAACUGAAAGUUCUAAUGCCACACCCACUUCUCAAAAUUAUACAACAUAUUGAGACGAUGAUAAAGUAUCCAUAGUUUUUUCGCAUCCCAUCCGCAAAAUCACAAGUCAUCAGUGCAAAACUGAUACCAAGUACUCAAUAUCGCACACGAAUCGAACAGAAAGAAUCUGGAGAUUUAGGCUUCAAGCUGAAACAAGGUCGCACGAUAAGGAAAGAAAGAAGUGAAAUCUUCCUAGAUGCCUUGUAGCCGCUAGAAGAUAAGUGUGGACGUCAUCAUACCAAUCCGUAAGAGUCUACUAGCCACUUGCUCAUGACUCGUAGAACCUAUGAACCUAGUGCUCUGAUACCAACUUGUCGCGAUCCAAAAUCCACAAAGUCGUGAUGGAACCUAACCCCAACAUGCUAGGUAAGAAAAAGAUAUAAUAUUGUAACUCAAAUGAAAGAUAAUUAUUAACAAGGAUUGAUAGAUUAAUUCCAUACAGCAUCCCAAAGAUUGGUAGUAUAAGUUAUAUGCCACUAAGAUUUAGAUUUAAAAAGUUGGUGCAAAAAAUAAGCACAACAUCUAUUUGAAUGUACAUAAAAAGGAUUGCAAAUCCUAAACUACCAAGAACAAGUGAUAGCUUAUCUCUGGAAUGCAGGUACAUCUUCAAAGCCAACCUUCGUCAUACACAACAUAUUAGCUCUCAAAUAUGCACGCAAGGUGCAGAAGUGUAGUAUGAGUACAACCGAUCCAUGUACUUAGUAAGUAUCCUGACUAACCUCGAUGAGGUAGAGACGAGGUUCAGAACAAGGAGACUCACUAUACAUAACAUGUACAUCUCAAUAACAUAUAAAUAUGCCCAACAAAAGUAUCAAACUCUAAGCAUAAAAUCCGGGUACAACUAAUCAGGGCACAUAGAGAAGAUAUGCGUAAGUCUUAUAAAAGUUAAAUAUAUAGGGAAGAUAUACAUCUAACAUCAUUAAAUAAUCUAAGCUUGCAUAUAAAGAAGAUAUGCAUGAAAUAUCAAAUAUUCCAUCAACAGUUGCAUAUAGAGAAGAUAUGCGUGGAAUAUCAGGUAAUCCAUCAACAGUUGCAUAUAGAGAAGAUAUUCUUGGAAUAUCAGGUAAUCCAUCAACAGUUGCAUAUAGAGAAGAUAUGCAUGGAAUAUCAGGUAAUCCAUCAAUAGUUGCAUAUAGAGAUGAUAUGCAUAUUUAAACAAGUCCAGUUACACGGAUCCACAUAUAGAGAAGAUAUGUACCGUGAUUUAUCUCAUCAAGCAAAGCAGCAUAUAGAGAGGAUAUGCAAUGAAAAUCAUGUAUACAUCAAAGGAGUUUGCAAAAAGAGAAGAGACAGUCCAACUAAUGAUCAAUUUUACCAAGAUCCAUAUCAACCAGAAACCCGUCUAUUUCUCACAACAUGUGUGUACGCCAUCAAGAGGGAAAUAUGAGAGUGUAACCCUAGGGAAUAAAUCCUUAUCCAUACACUGUAUGGACUACUCACGUGCCAUCACUGCAUGGACAACUCACGUGCCAUAGAUUAAAACAACCGCACGGACAACCUACGUGCCAUAAUAACUUAACCUGCAUGGACCACUCACGUACUGCCAAUCUAGUCCAUCACAAAAAAAGCAUAUACAAGAACACAUGUAUACGACAUAUCCAAUAACAUACUCAUGGACUGAGGAAAAUAGUAUAUUAUGGUGUAUUCAUGUGCGAAGUGUGCAACUACGGCUCAAAUUAGGCGGAUACGCCAUACAAUAUCAAAAAUCAUGAACAAACAGGGAAUUAAUACUUUUACAUGAUCUCUAGCAUGAUUCACAGAGUUCACGUAGUCAUACAAACACAUAAAGCAUGAUAGCAAGAAUCACAAUAUCCAAAUCAAGGCAUAGUAGCGCCUAAAGACUACUCUGGUAAUGAAUCGUACAUAGCACCCGUAUAUACACUCAUCACCUUGCAUAUACGUAGCAUCUCACACAUUUAAAUUAGACAAACAAGGUCAGUUCCAAAGGUUUAUUCCCUCAUCAAUAUUAGACAAGAUACUUACAUCAAAAAAGCCAAAUUAACACUCUAAAAACACCUUCCCGCGUGGAUCGACCUUCGAACGGCUCAAAUCUAGCCAAAAACAACUCAAUAACAUCAAAUAGUACCAUAGGAAUCAAACCCCAAUGAUAAAGGUCGAAUCUUUAAUCAAAUACUCAAAGUCGACCAAAACGUUAACCCGGGCCCACACCUUGAAACCCGACAAACCUCACAAAUCCCGAAUACCCAUUCAAAUAUGAGUCCAAAUAUCUAAUUGGUUUCCAAAUCCAACCUCAAUUUGAUGUUCAAAACCCCAAAAUUUAUUUUCUUAAGUUCAAGUAAAAAAAAAACCCAAUUUCUUCUUUUCAAAUCCUUGAUUUAGGUGUAAUAAUCCAUGGAAAACAAAAUAUAUAAUCAAAAAAAUGAUAAAAUUACUUACCCUCAUGAUUUGGGUGUUUAUCCUCCAAAAUUUCCUUACUUGUGCUCAAAGAACUCCAAAAGUGAAGAAAAUAAACUCAAAAUCCUAAAAUUGAAUAUUUUAAAGCCCCAUCACUCGUCCUUCUUCGCGAUCGCAUUCACCAAACAUGUGAUCACGGUUUCCAAAUUCCUUAUAGAUUGCAAGAUAUAAGCUCCUGAAGUCAGCCUAGUGGCAGCAAAAAUUUCUUCUGCGCGAUUGUGGGAAUGCACUCUGUGAUCGCGUUUCACAAGUCCAAAAUGGCAAUUUACUCUUUGCGAACGCGGCCCUGAGCUCCACGAUCGCGAUGUACACUCCUGUAGCAAAAAACCAACAACUGGAAAGGGUCUAAAAAAGGUCCAAAACCACCCUGAAUUACACCCGAGGCUCCCGGGGUCCCAUCCAUUAUACUAACAAGUCCAAAUACCUUAUUCAGACUUAUCCAAAGACUCAUCAUGCAACCUUCAAAACCGAGAAUUAAACACCAAAACUCAUUAAGCAACCUUCAAACUCAAGAACUUCAAAUAUUCACAACCAAACGUCUGAUUCAUACCAAAUCAACUCAGAAUAAAACCAAACUUUGCACACAACUUCCAAAUGAAAAAAUGGACCUAUUCCAAGUCCCAGAAUAAUAAUCCUAACCCGAUAGAUACAAAGUCAACACAUGGUCAAACUUAUGAAAUUUCUAAACUUUCAAAUUGCCAACUUUCGACAAAAAGAGCAAAAUUAUCCUAGGAACCUCCAAAUACAAAUUCGGAUAUAUACCUAAUUUCAAAAUCACCAUACGAACCAAUUUUAACCAUCAAAACAUGAAUCCAUGGUCGUUUACUCACAAGUCAAACCUUGGUCAACUCUUAAAAUUUAAAGCUUCUAAAUUGAGAAUUACUCUUCUGAAUCAAUCCCAUACUUCCCCAAAAGCAGAACAACAAUGCACGUAAGUCGUAUUAUAUCAUAUGAAGUUAUUCACGACCUUAAAUCGCUAAACAGAAUAUUAAUGCUCAAAACUACCGGUCGAAUCGUUACACUCAAUAUGCCAAAAUCUUACAGUACCAUAAUUAAAAUACAUAAAUAUACCGUCAUACCACAUCUCAGUUCAAACCAGUGUCACACACGCAAGGACAAUAUCAAUAUGUGAUAUAACAUAUAAAUAGUCCACAGAGACAGAAAUAUGACAAAUGAAUAUAAUAUCAUGACUGAAACAUAUGACUACGUCUGUAACGACCCGACAUGUCAUUUUACUUUCUACAUCCUCAUUCCCCUAUUUAAGACUUUUUGUAUGUGCUAUUACAUUUUUAUGACUGCCGGGGGGUAAUUGGUUUGGUUUUGGAAGGAUUCGGGUUGAAUUUGGAACACUUAAUUCCUUAAAAGUGGCCUAAGGUGGCCAAGUUUGACUUGAGUCAAUAUUUUGAGUAAACGACCUCAAAACCGGGAUUUCGGUGGUUUCAAUAGAUUUGUAUGACGAUUUUGGACUUGGGCGUGUGUUCGGAUCGAGUUUUGGAUGAUCCGGGAGCGUUUCAGCGCUUAAUAUUGAAAGUUGGCACCUUGAAGGUCUUAGAAUUUCCUAAAUUUAGUUUGAAAUAGACUUUGGUGUUGUCGAGAUCAUGGAAUUCUGAAUCUGGGAAUAGGUUCGUACGGUGAUUUAUGACUUGUACGCAAAAUUUGGCAUCAUUCCGAGUUGUCUAAGUAUGUUUCGUCGCGUGCGGAGCUAGUUGAAGAAGUUUGAAGUUCAUAAGUUGAUUAAUUUGGUUGUAGGGUGUAAUUCUUAGUUUCGAUUUUGGUUUAUGUGUUCCGAGGCUUCGAGCAGGUCUGUAUUAUGUUUAUGAACUUGUUAGUGUAUUUGGACGGGGUCCCGGAUGGCUCGGGUGUAUUUCGGACCACACAGAGCUAAGUCCAUAAUAGUAGAAUUUAUGUUAUUAGUUUCCUUCUUUGUGAACGCGGAGGUAGUCUCGCGUUCGGCAUGAAGGAUUUGGGGCAGGGGUAUUUUGUUCUCCGCAUUCGCGAUCACUGGGUCGGGUUCGCGAAGGUUUAGGACCUGUGGCCUUCGCGUUCGAUAGGAGGUCCGUGAUCGCGUAGAAAGGGUUGGGCCUGGGGUCAGUGGGUCGUUGCUCUUCGCGUUCGCGAAGAGCAUAUCGCGUUUGUGAUGCUUUGGCUGUGCUCUCCAUCGCGAUCGCGAGGACCUGGUCGCGUUCGCAAAGAGGAUUUUCUGAGCCUUGGCAAUUUUGCCUCCACGAUCGUGAGGCCCUUUUUACGAUCGCGAAGAAGGGACCUAUGGGCAGAAACUUUUAAAAGUCGUGAUUAGGAUUAUUUUUCUCAUUCUUACACUUUGCUUUGCCGAUUUUAGAGAUUUUGGAGAGAGAAUUUUCACCUAUCAAUUGAAGGUAAGUGAUUUCUAACUAAUGUGAGUUUAAUACAUAGAUUAUGGGAAGAUUUUAACAUAGAAAUUGUAGAAAUUAUGGGAUUAUGUUGAAAAACUUAGGGUUUGAUAAAAAUGGGAUUAGACCACGAAAAUGAUUAUGGAAUUGUAAGGCCCCGAAAAUUUUGCCAAGGAAUUUAAGGGUUCGUGGUGUCGAAGUAGGCUUACGUGUUUAAGGGUUCUUGAAAUUCUUCGCGACGAGCUAGCUCGCCGCGAUAUGGACUUUUUGGGUUGAAGAAUGCAUCGAGGUGUUGGUGGAAAAUGUUUUGCCAAAGGGCCAAUUAUGCGGUCAGAUUCGCGGCCGCAGAUCCAUUCUACGGGCCGCAUAAGCGUUGCAGAGUUGAGCAAGGAGUUGUUGAAUUUUGAGGGUUGUUUCGCGGUCCAUUGUGCGAUCGCAAACCUGUUUUGCGGUCUGCACUUCUGUCGCAGAGUUGCACGAAGAAAUUUCGUUGGGCGAUUCUGCGGCCGCAUAAGUGGUCUGCGGUCCGCAGACCGGUCGCAGACCUGUCCAGAUCAUCCCAGUUUUGGGGCAUCACUUUCGCGGUCCAUUAUGCGGACUGCAUACAUGUUUUGUGGUCAGUUCUGCAAUCGCAGACUUGAGUUCGGAGGAUCUAUUUUUAUAUUUUCAUAACUCGACCCCAUUUUGAUAAAUAGCCUUUGGGGCUCAUUUUGGGGCAAUUAUCUGAUGAUUUUAGAGAGAGGUAAAAGCAUUUUAGAGGGAGAAUGAGGAAACCUAACACUCUAACCAUCCAAUCUUGCACUAACCUUCAAGAAUCAAGGAAACCAAUCAUUAGAUUAUCAUCUAUCCGGGUAAGACCUUAUCCUAAUACCUUCAUGCAAUUGUUAUGGGUUUAAUUAGGUUAUGGGGGUUAGAAAUAGGCCAUGCAUGUGACAAUAGGUUGUAGUGUGUAAGUUUAAUGAACUAGUUUGGGUGGUUUCUUGUUGAAAUUAGUUAAGGGAGGAAGAGAUUACCAUUGUAGAGCUUUGUAGUCCAUUUUGCAUACUAAGUGUUCGACAAAAUUCCUAAGAGAGUUACACCAUAUGAAUCCUUCUAAUUAUUAUCCAAUUUUCGCUACCUUCUUAUAGAUUGUUAUUGCUAGAAGUGUUGGGACGUUGUAGUAGCUUAAGGAAAGCUCAAACAAGGUAUGUUGGCUAAACCUCUUUUUUAGAAUUGAACCCUACAAUGGCCUUGUAAGUCCUGUGUUGCUCAUUAUAAAUUGAUUAUUCCGAACAAGCCUUGUGUCAAAAGAUAUAUGCGUUCGAAUUGUAUUCCAAACGUUCUUCUUUAUUGAGUUACUAUUUGAAAAGGUGAUUAAACAUGGGCUGUGUGUUAAUAUGUCAUGAUUUGAAGCGUGAUUUUAAUGAAAACUAGCAUGUCGAAUUAUGUAAGAAAUCACAUGUGUCUAAGACCCUUAAUUUGGUUAGUUGCUCAAAUGUGUAUCUAAAGUCUUGAAUUAAAAUGCCUUGUUGUUGAUAAUCUAUAAGGAUACUUGAAAGUGAAAGAAGGGGGUUGGAGAUGGAUAGUGUGGCCACCGUGCCAAUAAUGAGAGUUAUACUUGUGCCCAAACGUGGCUGUUUUAACUAAUGCUAUGCUUUAUAAGUGUUUCCAAUGUGUCUUUAGCUCUUAUAUAUAUUCAUGAGUUGAAAUUGUGUAUUGCCCUUUUUGGGAGAAUUAUUUCAUGAUUAAAUGAUGUGUUACUCGUUUACGCUUCUAACUUGUGCUUUGAUUGCCAACUAUUUUACUUCAUUUCUUGGAAAGGAAUUCAUUGUGUUUAAGUCUUCACUGCUAGUAACUUAAAGUUGUGAUUUUCGGAAUACUCUACAUGUUGAAGCUUAUGUUAAUGAUCCUUGAAGGUAAAUAAAAGAAAGUGUGGAAUAUGAAGUACGGCCGCCGUGCCAUGAAUAAUGAAUCUUGUGAAUGGCCAAAAGAGCCAAGAAAAUAUUGUUGUUGUGAGUGGUUGAAAAUACUAAUGAAUGUUUAUACAAUGUGAAAGAUGAUGAGGUGAAUACAUUUGUAAUUAUACUACCUUUGUGUGCAAAAAAAAAAAUUGGGAGUAUCAUUAGCAAACCGAGGAAGGGUGGGUCAUAAGGCCCACACCCGAAACUACACGUGCCGGUGUAGGGGUGGAUAGUAAUGGGUUGUGAUUAUUUCCCUUAUUUGGGAUGAGAUUGAUAUUAGAUGUGAAUUGGAAAGUCAACCCACACGGCAUAUGUGGGAAGGAGGCCUAGCUGAUCGGGUGGAGAUCGGACGCCAUGUUGCGCACAUGGUGGUACUAUUCUUGGUAACACCAUUUUUUCGCAUCACAUGUCAAACCACAUUGUCUGUGGGGAGAUGGCCUAGUCAAUCGGGUGUGAUCGGACUCCGUGCUAAAAAUACGGUGGUAUAUCAGUGCUAAUGAACUCCCAACCAAAAAUAUAUAUUAUUUCGUAUUUUGAAAACUGGUAUGUGUUAACUGGGCAUUUGGAUAUUGUUGAUUGUGACUUGCUGUUUCUAUGGUUUUCCCUUUCUUAUAAUGGUAUUCUAUUUUGAAAGUGGACAUUUAGAUUUACAUACUAGUACUAUUCCAUAUGUACUAACGUUCAUUUUGCCAGGGCCGCUGCAUCUUCAAUGGAUGCAGGUGAUUCGUCAGCAGGUGGUUUUGACCCUCGUUAGCAGUUACUCUCUAUUCAGCAGAUUUUGGUGAGCCCUACUCUGUUCCGGGCUUCAUGUCAUUUGACGUUGUACGUUACAUUUUGAGGUAUAGCUGGGGCCUUGUCGCCAUCACAUCAUACUACUCUUCUGUUGUACUUAGAGGCUCCGUAGACAGGUUGUAGGUAGUAUAUGAUGUUGGGAAUUAAACUAGUAAGUGUUGGUAUUUGGGCGAACAUGUUUUAUCAUAUCAGUAAACUUGUUAUAUUUUGGAAAUCAUAAAUAGAUAUCCUUUAGUAGUGAAAAAUAUUGUGGAACACUUGACUCUUCUCAUGUCUAUCACAUGUACUGGCUCUUAUAUUAUUAAUGGGCAAGGUUGGGUAGAAGGCAUCUAACAGGCUUGCUUAACCGCGGUAUCUCGGUUAAGCGUCGGUCGCGCUCCCCGAGGUCAGGGCGUGACAGGAAUUGAGUAGAAAUUAUAUAUUUGAAUUCAUAGGGUCUUGGGUAACAUUUAUCUACAAAACUUUCCGGAAUCCAGACAUGUGGGCUCGGGGGUGACUUUUAGGAACUUUCUGGUUUGAGUUGGGUAAUUGCUCUAAUAGAUGAAUUAUGAACUUUUUAGCAUGUAUUGAUUAGUUUGUAAAACUUUUGACUAGUAUCGGGUUGCUCAGUGUUAUUUUGAGGCUAUUAGUGUGGUUUGAGGACUGAGAAGAGGACUUGGAAGUGAGGUAUCUCUUGCCUUAACUUGUAAGAGGGAAUUGACCAUGUAGGUGUUUAAUGUGUUAUUUGUUAAUAAUUGUUGGUGCUACGUACGCACAAAGUGACGAGAGUCCGUACGUAGCUAAAAAAUAUGUUUAUGUCCGGGCAGACUUAGGACUUUAUCAUGCAAUACUUGUAUUAUUUGAACCUAACUUGCUAGUUUAAUUACUUGAAUUCAUAAUUGAAAUUCGACUAGGGAAUAUGUUAGACCGAGCUUCGUUACUUUGAAUUUUGGCGGAAUAUUCGAUUUUUGAUAGAAGAUGAUGCUCCUUUAUAUGCCUAUCAUGGUAUUGUAAAUGUAUGUUCUGUAGUCCAAAGAGUUUCCUAUUCCUGUGGAUCGGGCCAAAUGCCUCGGCUAUAUAUAUAUAAUGAGAUGCAUCCAUGCAUCGGGACGUAUGACCUCGGUAGUGUAUGUACCCAAUUAUUAUGGAUCGGGCAGUACGACCUCGGCAUAAAUCGUGCGUAAUAUCUCUAGGAGUCCGAUUAUACUUAUAUUUCCUUCAUGACUUGAGAAUUGACAAUUACUUGAUGGCUCUUAUUUGUUGAAAUCGCCAGGUGGUCAUUGAAGAUUUUAAGUUGAUAUUUUGUUAAAGAAUCACUUAUUCAUUGUUUCUUAUUUCAUUGUUACUGUUGUAUUUCAUAUCUAUUUACCAUUCUUUCAUUUUAUUUAUUGACCUCUAGUAAGUGUCGAUGUCGAUCUCUCGUCACUACUUCUUCGAGGUUAGACUAGAUACUUACUAGGUACACGUUGUUUACAUAUUCAUGUUACAUUUCUACACAAAUUGUGCAGGAAGUGAGGCAGGUACAUCUGGUGUCCGUUUAGGCAUUCCCCCACAUUACCUGGAGACCUAGUGGUGAGUUGCUUCCCUAUGCUCCGUUCAGCAGCACCCACAGUCUCCUUCCUGUUGCUUUUUAUAUUUCUUUCUAUUUCAUUUAAGACAGUAGUUGUAGUGAUUUGUAUAUUCUUCUAGAUUGCCCAUGCACUUAUAACACCAGGUUUUGGAAAUUUCUAGUAGAUAUUUAUGGGUUUUGCCUAUUAGUAUCAUCAUCUCACUCUUAUGUUUUAUUUCAUGCUUUAUAUCACUGUGGCCUUUUAUACUUGGUCUCUUCAUUAAAUAAAAUUCAUGACUUUAAAAGUAAUAAAAUGAAUAAUUAAAUGGAUAGUUCAUCGUUGAUUUGCCUAAUGGCGAGGUCUCCAUCAUAGCCUAUAGCGGGAAUUGGGUCGUGACAGGUUGAUAUCAGAGUACUAGGUUAACAUAGGUCUCACGAGUCAUGAGAAGGCAUAGUAG
RNAcentral lists this long non-coding RNA (11333 nucleotides) under Nicotiana tabacum (common tobacco). RNAcentral's name for it is "long non-coding RNA (NTAB_LNC005150)". The record is from RNAcentral. Lineage: Eukaryota; Viridiplantae; Streptophyta; Magnoliopsida; Solanales; Solanaceae.